Molecule: ribosomal RNA, 459 nt
Filed under: Pycnococcus provasolii
Lineage: Eukaryota; Viridiplantae; Chlorophyta; Pseudoscourfieldiophyceae; Pseudoscourfieldiales; Pycnococcaceae
Description: partial Bacterial small subunit ribosomal RNA
Rfam family: Bacterial small subunit ribosomal RNA
Source: RNAcentral
CAGACUCCUACGGGAGGCAGCAGUAAGGAAUAUUGGUCAAUGGACGCAAGUCUGAACCAGCCAUGCCGCGUGGAGGAUGAAGGCCCUCUGGGUUGUAAACUUCUUUUAUCUGGGACGAAAAAGGGCCUUUCUAGGCCAACUGACGGUACCAGAGGAAUAAGCACCGGCUAACUCCGUGCCAGCAGCCGCGGUAAUACGGAGGGUGCAAGCGUUAUCCGGAUUCACUGGGUUUAAAGGGUGCGUAGGUGGGUCUGUAAGUCAGUGGUGAAAUCUCCGAGCUUAACUUGGAAACUGCCAUUGAUACUAUAGGUCUUGAAUAUUGUGGAGGUCAGCGGAAUAUGUCAUGUAGCGGUGAAAUGCUUAGAUAUGACAUAGAACACCAAUUGCGAAGGCAGCUGGCUACGCAUAUAUUGACACUGAGGCACGAAAGCGUGGGGAGCAAACAGGAUUAGAUACCCU